Molecule: non-coding RNA, 65 nt
Organism: Cricetulus griseus (Chinese hamster)
Lineage: Eukaryota; Metazoa; Chordata; Mammalia; Rodentia; Cricetidae
Source: Rfam
UUUUCAGUCAGGGUCCUGGCUAAUAUCCAGCUCUUAGCUGGUAUUAGUCAAACCCUGACUGUAAA